Small nucleolar RNA from Otolemur garnettii (small-eared galago), 131 nucleotides. NCBI's taxonomy places the organism in Eukaryota, Metazoa, Chordata, Mammalia, Primates, Galagidae. The record is from Ensembl.
GGCUUGUCUCUCUUGGGGUUAUGGAGGAUCCAGUUUCUCCUCAGCCAAGGAUAGAGGCCAACAUCAGCCCCUGAGGACUGUUGUCAGCACUGCCAUGAGUGGGCAGCCUUAAUUUCCUGCCUCAGACAUUU